GCGAGUACGUGACGCUGCGCAAGCGCGGUAAAGGUAAACACCAUCAGCGUGGCAAAAACAGAAAGGUGGAACAGAAUUUCAAUAAGGUUGCUUGUUUUAGGUAUAAGCGCGUCGAAAUUGACCACAUUAUAUACACAAUUUGCUGGAAAACGAUAUCAGGCACGACCAUCAAGCUACUAACCUCGAACUUUCUCCACUUUACUUUCUCCACUUCAAGCAGGCAAGGCUGUUGUGGAUGCCAAAAACAAGAGCUGUCUCAUCAGAAUUAUGGCCAUCUUAUCUUCUCUCCGGCAGACGUGGCUGCACGGAAGCCAGCUUUUGUCUCAGAUCUCCACAGACGUUGUCUAUCAGCUGAAAUAUGGUUUGCCUUUAUUUUAUUUCCCUUGCAUGCCUUUUGGGUUUCU
Molecule: long non-coding RNA, 404 nt
Organism: Danio aesculapii
Lineage: Eukaryota; Metazoa; Chordata; Actinopteri; Cypriniformes; Danionidae
Exons: 3
Source: RefSeq, a predicted model, not a curated record